This 525-nucleotide ribosomal RNA is filed under the name uncultured bacterium. RNAcentral's name for it is "bacterial SSU rRNA". It matches the Rfam family "Bacterial small subunit ribosomal RNA", at positions 335 to 858 of the family's 1533-position model. The record is from RNAcentral.
UUCCCUACGGGAGGCAGCAGUGGGGAAUAUUGCGCAAUGGGGCAAACCCCGACGCAGCGACGCGGCGGGAGAGAAGAAGGCCUUCGGGUCGUAAACUCCUGUCGGAAGGGAAGAAACUGUUAGGGUAUAAUACGCCAUUUCAGUGACGGUACCUCCAAAGGAAGCACCGGUUAACUCCGUCCCAGCAGCCGCGGUAAUACGGAGGGUGCGAGCUUUAAUUGGAAUCACUGGGCGUAAAGCGCACGUAGGCGGCGCAUCAAGUCAGGCGUGAAAGCCCUCGGCUCAACCGGGGAAUUGCGUUUGAAACUGGUGUGCUGGAGUAUCGGAGAGGUUGGCGGAAUUCCAGGUGUAGGAGUGAAAUCCGUAGAUAUGGGGAGGAACACCGGUGGGGAAGGCGGCCAACUGGACGAGUACUGACGCUGAGGUGCGGAAGCGUGGGGACCAAACAGGAUUCAUACCCUGGUACUCCCCGCUUAAACGAUGGAUAUUAGGUGUCGGGGGUUACCUUCGGUGCCGCAGUAACGC